Molecule: unclassified non-coding RNA, 371 nt
Filed under: uncultured Gammaproteobacteria bacterium
Lineage: Bacteria; Pseudomonadati; Pseudomonadota; Gammaproteobacteria
Description: contains 16S-23S intergenic spacer region
Source: RNAcentral
UCCGGUUUGUCACCGGCAGUCUCAUUAGAGUGCCCAACUAAAUGUAGCAACUAAUGACAAGGGUUGCGCUCGUUGCGGGACUUAACCCAACAUCUCACGACACGAGCUGACGACAGCCAUGCAGCACCUGUGUUCCGAUUCCCUUUCGGGCACACCCAUAUCUCUACGGGCUCUCGGACAUGUCAAGGGUAGGUAAGGUUUUUCGCGUUGCAUCGAAUUAAUCCACAUGCUCCACCGCUUGUGCGGGUCCCCGUCAAUUCCUUUGAGUUUUAAUCUUGCGACCGUACUCCCCAGGCGGAGUGCUUAACGCGUUAGCUGUGUUACUAGAAAAAAUCUAACAACUAGCACUCAUCGUUUACAGCGUGGACUAC